UUAAGCGACUAAGCGUACACGGUGGAUGCCCUGGCAGUCAGAGGCGAUGAAGGACGUGCUAAUCUGCGAUAAGCGUCGGUGAGGUGAUAUGAACCGUUAUAACCGGCGAUUUCCGAAUGGGGAAACCCAGUGUGUUUCGACACACUAUCAUUAACUGAAUCCAUAGGUUAAUGAGGCGAACCGGGGGAACUGAAACAUCUAAGUACCCCGAGGAAAAGAAAUCAACCGAGAUUCCCCCAGUAGCGGCGAGCGAACGGGGAGGAGCCCAGAGCCUGAAUCAGUGUGUGUGUUAGUGGAAGCGUCUGGAAAGGCGCGCGAUACAGGGUGACAGCCCCGUACACAAAAAUGCACAUGCUGUGAGCUCGAUGAGUAGGGCGGGACACGUGGUAUCCUGUCUGAAUAUGGGGGGACCAUCCUCCAAGGCUAAAUACUCCUGACUGACCGAUAGUGAACCAGUACCGUGAGGGAAAGGCGAAAAGAACCCCGGCGAGGGGAGUGAAAAAGAACCUGAAACCGUGUACGUACAAGCAGUGGGAGCCUCUUAAUGGGGUGACUGCGUACCUUUUGUAUAAUGGGUCAGCGACUUAUAUUCUGUAGCAAGGUUAACCGAAUAGGGGAGCCGAAGGGAAACCGAGUCUUAACUGGGCGUUAAGUUGCAGGGUAUAGACCCGAAACCCGGUGAUCUAGCCAUGGGCAGGUUGAAGGUUGGGUAACACUAACUGGAGGACCGAACCGACUAAUGUUGAAAAAUUAGCGGAUGACUUGUGGCUGGGGGUGAAAGGCCAAUCAAACCGGGAGAUAGCUGGUUCUCCCCGAAAGCUAUUUAGGUAGCGCCUCGUGAAUUCAUCUCCGGGGGUAGAGCACUGUUUCGGCAAGGGGGUCAUCCCGACUUACCAACCCGAUGCAAACUGCGAAUACCGGAGAAUGUUAUCACGGGAGACACACGGCGGGUGCUAACGUCCGUCGUGAAGAGGGAAACAACCCAGACCGCCAGCUAAGGUCCCAAAGUCAUGGUUAAGUGGGAAACGAUGUGGGAAGGCCCAGACAGCCAGGAUGUUGGCUUAGAAGCAGCCAUCAUUUAAAGAAAGCGUAAUAGCUCACUGGUCGAGUCGGCCUGCGCGGAAGAUGUAACGGGGCUAAACCAUGCACCGAAGCUGCGGCAGCGACACUAUGUGUUGUUGGGUAGGGGAGCGUUCUGUAAGCCUGUGAAGGUGGCCUGUGAGGGUUGCUGGAGGUAUCAGAAGUGCGAAUGCUGACAUAAGUAACGAUAAAGCGGGUGAAAAGCCCGCUCGCCGGAAGACCAAGGGUUCCUGUCCAACGUUAAUCGGGGCAGGGUGAGUCGACCCCUAAGGCGAGGCCGAAAGGCGUAGUCGAUGGGAAACAGGUUAAUAUUCCUGUACUUGGUGUUACUGCGAAGGGGGGACGGAGAAGGCUAUGUUGGCCGGGCGACGGUUGUCCCGGUUUAAGCGUGUAGGCUGGUUUUCCAGGCAAAUCCGGAAAACCAAGGCUGAGGCGUGAUGACGAGGCACUACGGUGCUGAAGUGACAAAUGCCCUGAUUCCAGGAAAAGCCUCUAAGCAUCAGGUAACAUCAAAUCGUACCCCAAACCGACACAGGUGGUCAGGUAGAGAAUACCAAGGCGCUUGAGAGAACUCGGGUGAAGGAACUAGGCAAAAUGGUGCCGUAACUUCGGGAGAAGGCACGCUGAUAUGUAGGUGAAGCGACUUGCUCGUGGAGCUGAAAUCAGUCGAAGAUACCAGCUGGCUGCAACUGUUUAUUAAAAACACAGCACUGUGCAAACACGAAAGUGGACGUAUACGGUGUGACGCCUGCCCGGUGCCGGAAGGUUAAUUGAUGGGGUUAGCGGUAACGCGAAGCUCUUGAUCGAAGCCCCGGUAAACGGCGGCCGUAACUAUAACGGUCCUAAGGUAGCGAAAUUCCUUGUCGGGUAAGUUCCGACCUGCACGAAUGGCGUAAUGAUGGCCAGGCUGUCUCCACCCGAGACUCAGUGAAAUUGAACUCGCUGUGAAGAUGCAGUGUACCCGCGGCAAGACGGAAAGACCCCGUGAACCUUUACUAUAGCUUGACACUGAACAUUGAGCCUUGAUGUGUAGGAUAGGUGGGAGGCUUUGAAGUGUGGACGCCAGUCUGCAUGGAGCCGACCUUGAAAUACCACCCUUUAAUGUUUGAUGUUCUAACGUUGGCCCCUAAUCGGGGUUGCGGACAGUGUCUGGUGGGUAGUUUGACUGGGGCGGUCUCCUCCUAAAGAGUAACGGAGGAGCACGAAGGUUGGCUAAUCCUGGUCGGACAUCAGGAGGUUAGUGCAAUGGCAUAAGCCAGCUUGACUGCGAGCGUGACGGCGCGAGCAGGUGCGAAAGCAGGUCAUAGUGAUCCGGUGGUUCUGAAUGGAAGGGCCAUCGCUCAACGGAUAAAAGGUACUCCGGGGAUAACAGGCUGAUACCGCCCAAGAGUUCAUAUCGACGGCGGUGUUUGGCACCUCGAUGUCGGCUCAUCACAUCCUGGGGCUGAAGUAGGUCCCAAGGGUAUGGCUGUUCGCCAUUUAAAGUGGUACGCGAGCUGGGUUUAGAACGUCGUGAGACAGUUCGGUCCCUAUCUGCCGUGGGCGCUGGAGAACUGAGGGGGGCUGCUCCUAGUACGAGAGGACCGGAGUGGACGCAUCACUGGUGUUCGGGUUGUCAUGCCAAUGGCACUGCCCGGUAGCUAAAUGCGGAAGAGAUAAGUGCUGAAAGCAUCUAAGCACGAAACUUGCCCCGAGAUGAGUUCUCCCUGAGACUUAGAGUCUCCUGAAGGAACGUUGAAGACGACGACGUUGAUAGGCCGGGUGUGUAAGCGCAGCGAUGCGUUGAGCUAACCGGUACUAAUGAACCGUGAGGCUUAACCUU
RNAcentral lists this ribosomal RNA (2902 nucleotides) under Escherichia coli. Its description in RNAcentral is "bacterial LSU rRNA". It matches the Rfam family "Bacterial large subunit ribosomal RNA". Lineage: Bacteria; Pseudomonadati; Pseudomonadota; Gammaproteobacteria; Enterobacterales; Enterobacteriaceae. The record is from RNAcentral.